RNAcentral lists this ribosomal RNA (427 nucleotides) under uncultured bacterium. RNAcentral describes it as "partial 16S ribosomal RNA". It matches the Rfam family "Bacterial small subunit ribosomal RNA", at positions 355 to 774 of the family's 1533-position model. The record is from RNAcentral.
UGGGGAAUAUUGCACAAUGGGCGCAAGCCUGAUGCAGCCAUGCCGCGUGUAUGAAGAAGGCCUUCGGGUUGUAAAGUACUUUCAGCGGGGAGGAAGGCGAUAAGGUUAAUAACCUUGUCGAUUGACGUUACCCGCAGAAGAAGCACCGGCUAACUCCGUGCCAGCAGCCGCGGUAAUACGGAGGGUGCAAGCGUUAAUCGGAAUUACUGGGCGUAAAGCGCACGCAGGCGGUUUGUCAAGUCGGAUGUGAAAUCCCCGGGCUCAACCUGGGAACUGCAUUCGAAACUGGCAGGCUUGAGUCUUGUAGAGGGGGGUAGAAUUCCAGGUGUAGCGGUGAAAUGCGUAGAGAUCUGGAGGAAUACCGGUGGCGAAGGCGGCCCCCUGGACAAAGACUGACGCUCAGGUGCGAAAGCGUGGGGAGCAAACA